This 288-nucleotide long non-coding RNA is filed under the name Elaeis guineensis (African oil palm). RNAcentral describes it as "long non-coding RNA (EGUI_LNC042867)". The record is from RNAcentral. Lineage: Eukaryota; Viridiplantae; Streptophyta; Magnoliopsida; Arecales; Arecaceae.
UCUUGAACCAUUGAUCUUCAAUUUUCUUAAAUUUCAUUCUUUUUAUUGAUUUCAAAUUAUAAGUAUCAUAAUGCUGAAGUUUUUGGAUAGACUCUCCUUCUAAAUUAACUUCAAAAUCUUGAAAAACUAGAGUUAGAAGCAUUCCAUAUGGCACAGCUAACUUUUCCCUUUGAGAGGCUUCUUGCAUUACCUUUAAGAUCAAAGCUGAAAGAUUGAAUUUUUUCCUCCUUAAAGUGUGAUACAUAAUAGCAACAUCAUUCAUGGUCAAAAAGUCAAACCUUCCAAGCC